AGACCCACAGUCACCUGCCUCAGGUAGAGAAUCUCAGUGCCUUUGCAAAGUAUUUUCCUUGUUGUUACUCAGGAGAUCACAAACACUCAUUAAGAAGGCAGCUUGUUGUGGGCUCACCACAGAUUCAAGUUUAUCAUGUUGGACACAGCCCUAGUCCCACGUUGGGCUCAAGGCAAGGCAAGGAUUUUUCAAGCUACGCAAGGAUGAAGCAAGGAUGAAGCACAGUCUACUGGAAGGAGCAAAGGACUGGGAGCCCAGGCUGGCCUGCAGUGUGGACAGAAGCCACUGCAAUUGAUAUAACAUCGGGAGGGUUGUGGCCAUCUGAUGCAUGGAUGCCCUAUCCCGGAGCAGCCAAGAACUGGAGAGAAGGUCACCGCUAUGGCCACAGCUGUGACUCUGUGACAGUUGGUUUGAGCAGCUGCUCCUUUUACUCUCUUGUCACCCUUGUCUUUUGUCUUAUUUCUUCCUUCAUGUGUGUUUCAACAACCUCCCCCAAUCCCUCCUCCCUGUCAUUUUUGAAUUGUGAGCCCCUUUAGGAGUCAGGGCCAGGUCUAUAUGAAUACAGUACUUUGAACACAG
Molecule: long non-coding RNA, 579 nt
Organism: Ornithorhynchus anatinus (platypus)
Lineage: Eukaryota; Metazoa; Chordata; Mammalia; Monotremata; Ornithorhynchidae
Exons: 2
Source: RefSeq, a predicted model, not a curated record